RNAcentral lists this ribosomal RNA (507 nucleotides) under uncultured bacterium. Its description in RNAcentral is "partial 16S ribosomal RNA". It matches the Rfam family "Bacterial small subunit ribosomal RNA", at positions 28 to 507 of the family's 1533-position model. The record is from RNAcentral.
GACGAACGCUGGCGGCGUGCCUAAUACAUGCAAGUCGAACGCAUUUUCUUUCACCGUAGCUUGCUACACCGAAAGAAAAUGAGUGGCGAACGGGUGAGUAACACGUGGGUAACCUGCCCAUCAGCGGGGGAUAACACUUGGAAACAGGUGCUAAUACCGCAUAAUUCCAUUUACUGCAUGGUAGAUGGAUGAAAGGCGCUUUUGCGUCACUGAUGGAUGGACCCGCGGUGCAUUAGCUAGUUGGUGGGGUAACGGCCUACCAAGGCUGCGAUGCAUAGCCGACCUGAGAGGGUGAGCGGCCACACUGGGACUGAGACACGGCCCAGACUCCUACGGGAGGCAGCAGUAGGGAAUCUUCGGCAAUGGACGCAAGUCUGACCGAGCAACGCCGCGUGAGUGAAGAAGGUUUUCGGAUCGUAAAACUCUGUUGUUAGAAAAGAACAAGGAUGAGAGUGGAAAGUUCAUCCCUUGUCGGUAUCUAACCAGAAAGCCACGGCUAACUACGUG